GGGAUUGCCUUAGUAACGGCGAGUGAAGCGGCAACAGCUCAAAUUUGAAAUCUGGCCCCUCCGGGGUCCGAGUUGUAAUUUGUAGAGAGUGCUUCGGGGGAGGCCGCGGUCUAAGUCCAUUGGAACAUGGCGUCAUAGAGGGUGAGAAUCCCGUAUGCGACCGUGGCUCAAACCCAUGUGAAGCCUCUUCGACGAGUCGAGUUGUUUGGGAAUGCAGCUCAAAAUGGGUGGUAAAUUUCAUCUAAAGCUAAAUACCGGCUGGAGACCGAUAGCGCACAAGUAGAGUGAUCGAAAGAUGAAAAGCACUUUGGAAAGAGAGUCAAACAGUACGUGAAAUUGUUGAAAGGGAANCGCUUGCAACCAGACCUGCCCGCGGGUGAUCAGCCGCUGUUCUCAGCGGUGCACUCGCCCCGCGAUCAGGCCAGCAUCGGUUUCGGCGGCCGGAUAAAGGCCUUGGGAAUGUAGCUUCCCUUCGGGGGAGCCUUAUAGCCCUCGGUGCAAUGCGGCCAGCCGAGACCGAGGACCGCGCUUCGGCUAGGAUGCUGGCGUAAUGGUUGUAAGCGACCCGUCUUGAAACACGGACCAAGGAGUCUAACAUCUAUGCGAGUGUUUGGGCGUUAAACCCAUGCGCGGAAUGAAAGUGAACGGAGGUGAGAACCCUGAAGGGCGCAU
RNAcentral lists this ribosomal RNA (672 nucleotides) under Parmelina sp. Its description in RNAcentral is "eukaryotic LSU rRNA". It matches the Rfam family "Eukaryotic large subunit ribosomal RNA", at positions 71 to 758 of the family's 3401-position model. Lineage: Eukaryota; Fungi; Ascomycota; Lecanoromycetes; Lecanorales; Parmeliaceae. The record is from RNAcentral.